Molecule: ribosomal RNA, 120 nt
Filed under: Petromyzon marinus (sea lamprey)
Lineage: Eukaryota; Metazoa; Chordata; Hyperoartia; Petromyzontiformes; Petromyzontidae
Source: RNAcentral
GCCCUUAACCAAAGCACCCGGAGAGCACCCAAUGUCAUCAGAUCUCGGGAGCUAAGCGGGGUUGAGCUUGGAUAGUGGAUAGAUGGGCGACCACUGUGCACAGACAGGUUGCCAUAGGCC